This is a non-coding RNA of Podarcis lilfordi (Lilford's wall lizard), 3705 nucleotides long. NCBI's taxonomy places the organism in Eukaryota, Metazoa, Chordata, Lepidosauria, Squamata, Lacertidae. The record is from the annotation of a GenBank genome assembly.
GCAUUUUUCUUAGAGAAAGACAAAAUGUAGUACAACUUCCUCAUGCUCCUUCAGUUUGCUCAUGUACUUGACUUCAGCUAGAUGUGUCAUCAGCUAUUUUAUUAAUAAACUGAUGUUUCUUCUAUCCUAACAAACUGCAAAGAGGAAUCUGUUUGGGGGUUACAUUGAUUUUUUAAAAGAACUUUUUUUAGAACUGACAGGAAAAUAAAGCUGAUAUAUUUCCCAAAAUAAAUAGGAGACCCUAGCAUAUUAACACCCCCCUCCCAAGGAAUAUGCAAUUUCCUCCAGCAUUUUCAGAAAAUCAUUGUGUUUGUUCCUGUCUUUUUCUAUAUCUCAUCAAAUCAUGUCUGAUUAUGACUGGGAUCCCUGGUAUUUAACUGUUAUUGAAUGCAGUAAUGAAAGGAACCAUAGAGCUACUUAAUUAUCCACCCAGUAGGUGUCCAAUGGCGAAGUUUCUUUCUAACCUUUUUUCCUCUCUCUCUGAUAAGAUAAUUACUGCAGAUGCAAUUGCUGCUAAUAUAAAUACUCACUGAUUGUAAACUGUGGCCGCGAGGCUCUUUCUGAUAAAGACUCCUCUGCGAAUCGGCAGGAGUGCUAUUGUUCAUUUCUAAACAAAGCAACCUGUGUUUCCACAUGAAGAAUAACUAAGAGGACGAUAUGAAUGUUCAAAGUGAAAGAGUGCCAGAAGUCUUUCAUUAAUGAAAUGGCCUUUGGUAAUUGUGAUCUUGGGGGGGGGCGCUGGGCACCCUUAUUUCUACUCAACUUUUUUAAAAAAUACAUUUUUAAAAAACUAAACAUGUUGCCAAAUUGCUGUAUACAAGGAACCAUGGUGGGUUUGGGGGCAAUGGAAAUGAUGGGAAAUCAGGAUUCAAAAACAUGAGUUUAGCCUCCAUGGAUGUGAUCUCCACAGCUGAUCACUGUUCACAAUGUAGCCAGGGUGCUGGACUGUCCUGAGGGGCAGCCCCAAAUAAAGCAGGAACGUAUCUGUGCACAGAUAACUGACUGGGCUAUCUCUGUCCAAGGGGGGUUGCAGUCUGAUCGUCCUUUGUGCUGCUGAGCCUCAAGAUCUAGAGUUGACUCUCAUAAUAGCACUCUUUGACUGGGUCUUCAGGGAGACUACAAUCCACUCCGCAGACAUACUUCCAGCCAACAACACCUCUGUCUUGUCAGGAUUAACUUUUGGUUCAUGGCUGCUCUGAAACACUGGGGGUGGAAUUCAAUGUUGCGCUAAGGUGGCCAUUCCAUCUGUGCAAGCAUUUCCCCCCUCUCCCCUGUUAACACACUGUUCUGGAGGUUCUCCUGAUUUGGGCAGGCUGUGGUGGCACGUGGGGGAGGCAAAAAAUAGAAGUCCCAUUGUGCAAGUGGGACCCAUUGCGCUGGCUUCUCCUGCUGCAACAACUUGGUGCCUUGGUGUCUUCUGCCUCAUCUGACAGCUGGAAAAGGCAGGCAGAGCAUAUUGAUUAUAUCCAACUCCAUAUUCUUUUUUGACCUUAUAAAUGUUGAACAAUAUGGAGAAUGGAACAGAUCCUUGAGAAACCAUGUCAUGCAAGGGCUAUGGAGCAGAACUAAAGUUCCACAAUAUUAUUUUCUGAAAUCUGAAGUGGAAUCACGGGAAAAACCACUGCCUCCAGUCCACAGAGAGUCUAUCCAGAAGGACAACAUGCUCAGUGGUAUUGAAUGGUGAGAAAGGAACAAGUAGAAUCAACAGAGCUACCCCCCUCCCCACCACCACCACCACCACCCAAUCUUGAUCUCAGUACAAGAUAUACUUCUGGCAAUUUAUUUACAUGCUGAAACUUGCAACCACAAAUUCUGGACUGUAUCAAGAAGGUAUUUACUGUUUAUUUAGAAAUCUUGGUCCAUCAGGCUUAAGGUUAGAGGGGAAAAAUUAUUUCUGUGAAGAGAAAUAAAGGUUAGUAUCAAGGGCUAAUACAGCUACUAACUUCUGUUCUUCUGUCUGACCGGAUAAAUUUCAAGUGCACAUUUUAGUAAAGCUUAAUGAGCUUUUGCGCUGUUUAACAGUGUUGGCUGUACCAUGGUAAUUAGCACUGAGGUGUUAUUCACUCUUAUCCUAAUAAGGGCUUUAUUUUAACCUCUGUAAGAGGUUCUGCUGCCUUUUCUCCCCUCCCUCCCCUUUUUUGCUUCACUGCUUUUCUUUAUUGAACAAGGUAAGCAAUUAAGUAUGAUUGUAAAUGAAAUUAAAUCACAAAAACUGAAUUAACAUGCUGAAACCCAUAAAAGCUGGAAUACCAAUGUUAAAGUUGAACCAGUGCCUUUACCAUCUUAUUUCCCCUUAGCAUUCAAAAUUACACAUUUUCUGCAGCACAACCAAGUGAGAUGGGUGGAGUGGAGAGGAAAUGGGCCCCUCUCUUGCACUCUCCCCCAGCAACCCCUUCUCCCCACCCUCCUAGGCCACUUUCCCCCAUGACCUAGCAAACACACACUUCUGGAGUCCUGUUUGGUGAGGGGAUCAGAUGGAGAAUAGGGUGGCAGGAAGAUGGCAGUGGGCAGAGGUUGGGCAAGGAAGUUUCUCUGCAAAUCACCCCCUCACUCUGCUCCUUCACAACUCUUUAGUAACAGUUUGGUCCUUAAUAUUUCAAAAUGACAGGGGAAAUCCCCAGCUUGCAGGAUGAUCCAGUGGUUGAUCAAGACACCUUUAAUAGUUGUUACCACAUUUUCUGUAGGUUGUACCAGAAGCGUAACAAGCCGCUGGGGUGUGGGGGGCAGGUGUGCAUGCCUCCCAGGGGGGCAUGGCAUGCUGCCAUGCGGCAGGGCAUGCCACCCAUGGGGUGGGGCAAUCUGGGGUGGGGCACACUGCCGGAACUGUGUCCCUCCCAGCACCCUCCAGCAGGACACAGUGUUCGUGCCCUGGCUCAGUGCUGCUAGCAAAAGCAAUACAGGACUUAGGCCCGAGCUGCCACAUUCCUGUGGCGUGCCCUUCAGCUGGAGGGUGGCUGCAGAGGAAGUGACAGGGGGACGUCAGCCCUGUGCUGCUUUUUUGGGCAGCGUGGGGCAGACGCUAUGGCUCGGGCACACUGCUUGCAGGGCCAACAUAUGCCAGUUGCAUCCUGUUCGGCCGCUCUCUGGUGGCUGGGCAGAAUGUAGCAGCUCGAUGCACUACGAGCCUAGCCCCAGACUGCACUGCCUUUGGGAGUGGUGCGCCAGCCUCUUGGGCACCUGAACUUGCGUGUCAUAUUGGGGUUUGGCAUGUUGCCCUCAAAGGUAAGUUCCACUGGCGGUGACCCGCCAACUAGCUAUGCUACUGGGCUGUAAAACCCUCACCCCUUUCUGGAAUUUUUUUAAAGGAUUGCUUAAUUGCACUUGUAUUGAUUUUGUAAUGCAGUCUUCCAGCCAAGUAAUGUAUGUAUAUUUGGGUAAAGUGUAAAAAUGCAUGUGAACUAUGGCUAACCUGAUCCAAAACACCCACCCACCUCACUCACACACGAAAACAAAGAUCACCACAGCCAAUCACAAGCAAACAAUCACACCCUAGGCCAACCCCAACCUCUCUCACCACCAAAGGAACACAAGUGAACAACACAAGCAACGCUGACACCAAACUCUACAUACAUUAAACAUAAUAGAAACACCGCCACCCGACGCCACCCCCAUCCAUCUUCCCUCUCUCCACCCCCCUUUCUUUUUUCCUUUUUUUCUUCUCACCCUAAUGCCUCAACAAAAGAAACGGAUUUGUAAAAAUGUUAC